This 837-nucleotide long non-coding RNA is filed under the name Cricetulus griseus (Chinese hamster). RNAcentral's name for it is "lncRNA (ENSCGRG00015000490.2)". The record is from RNAcentral. Lineage: Eukaryota; Metazoa; Chordata; Mammalia; Rodentia; Cricetidae.
GUCAUACUGUCCACUGAAAGCCACACAACUUAUCUGUGCAAGCCGCUCUGAACCCCACCUCCAUCGUUCUGAGUCACACAGCUGCAUUUUAAACACAAGCCGAGGCCUUGACAGUGAUUUCUGGUCAGUCUCACUUGGUGAGAUGCAGCCUGUGGCGCCAGCCUGUCAGCCUCCUUUCUGUUCUGAUGAGGGAGGGAGAGGUCGUAUGAUGCAGGCUAAGUUCAAUUUUGUGGCUACAGAAAGGGCCGUGGAUGGUACUUUUACCAACCCCUUAUCAUCUGAUGAAUGACUCUGUCUGGAGAGCUGGCAGGUGUCUGUUGUCCCUUUUGGGUCAAAGGACCACAGCGGCACUCAGUCCAAAGGAGUCAUGUGGAACUCAAAUACCAAGAUGAGGUGAAGCUGAGAACACCCCUGGAUGCCUUCUUUUCAUCACUGUGAGCCAUCCUACCACAGCUGUGACCGACAAUCUUCACUAUCAGUUUGGCUGGACUUAAGUCACCAUGGAAGCACAACUUUGAGCGUGUCUAUGAGGGUGUCUCCAGAAAGGUGCAACCAACGAGGGAAGCCCCACCCUGAAUGUGGGUCACUGUCCCAUGGGCUGGGGUCCUGGCGUGAAUGAAAGGAGAAAGCCUGGUAAACACAGGAGCCAGCUCUUUGUUCCCUGGCUGUGGAUACAAUGUGGCCAGGUGCCUCACAGUCCUGUCUCCUUGUCUUCCCUGCCAAAUUGAGCUGCACUUUUAAACUGUAAAUCCUAGUAAACCCUUCCUCCCUUAAGUUGCUUUUGUCGUGUAUUUUGUUACAGCUUGAGAAAAGUAACCAAUACAAUGCCUCCUUUGU